CUAUAAACCCAGCGUCUUUGGGGCCCUGCAACAUUGCCUGGCCCCAAGGGCAUCUGGACACAGCCAUUCCUCUUGGGUUUGCUGCUCGGUGAGCCCUCAGACCUUCUCCAGGCAGCCCUGUGAAGACCCGAGUGAGGCAGCAGCCAUGAAGAUCCUGUUCCUGCUCCUUCCCCUCAUCCUCCUGUUGGUCCAGGGUGCUUCAGGCAAUGCACUUCUAUGCAAGCGACGAUUGGGAUUCUGCUCCAGGCGUUAUUGCCCUGCUAGUACACGUUUCGCGGGAAGAUGUGCUGGAGAAUAUGUGUGCUGCAGAAGGUACAGGGGUUAAAACCCUGACAUUCCUGAGCAGGACACAGCCCUCGCUUCGUGGCUGCUGGACCCACCUGAUGAUGUCCCCACCUCCUGAUGUCCCCUGCCCUCCCUAGCUGUGCUGUGCCCAGCUGGGCUGACAGCAGCAGUGGCAGCUGCUCCUGCUGGGUGCUGCUGGGCUGCAGCCCUGUGGUGCCAGCCCCGGUGUCUUUGGGCCAGGGGCUGCUUUUCCCAGCUUGAAUAAAGACGAGCACUUUGGC
Long non-coding RNA from Motacilla alba alba, 566 nucleotides. RefSeq lists it as uncharacterized. Lineage: Eukaryota; Metazoa; Chordata; Aves; Passeriformes; Motacillidae. The transcript has 4 exons. The record is from RefSeq and is a predicted model, not a curated record.